GCCCGGAUAGCUCAGUCGGUAGAGCGUUAGGCUUUUAACCUAGCGGUCCAGGGUUCGAGUCCCUGUUCGGGCG
This is a non-coding RNA of Stegodyphus mimosarum, 73 nucleotides long. The record is from Rfam. Lineage: Eukaryota; Metazoa; Arthropoda; Arachnida; Araneae; Eresidae.